Molecule: unclassified non-coding RNA, 251 nt
Filed under: uncultured Pleosporales
Lineage: Eukaryota; Fungi; Ascomycota; Dothideomycetes; Pleosporales
Description: sequence contains ITS2
Source: RNAcentral
AACGCACAUUGCGCCCCUUGGUAUUCCAUGGGGCAUGCCUGUUCGAGCGUCAUUUGUAUCUUCAAGCUUUGCUUGGUGUUGGGUGUUUGUCCUGCUCUAUGCGUGGACUCGCCUUAAAUCAAUUGGCAGCCGGUAAUCUGGUGUUAAGAGCGCAGCACAUUGUGCGCUCCUCGCUGUGUAUUGCGGCGUCCAUUAAGCCUAUAUUUUUUGCUCUUGACCUCGGAUCAGGUAGGUAUACCCGCUGAACUUAA